UAGCAGCUUAAACAUAUUACAGGUUC
Molecule: non-coding RNA, 26 nt
Filed under: Rattus norvegicus (Norway rat)
Lineage: Eukaryota; Metazoa; Chordata; Mammalia; Rodentia; Muridae
Source: RNAcentral